Molecule: long non-coding RNA, 1589 nt
Filed under: Macaca fascicularis (crab-eating macaque)
Lineage: Eukaryota; Metazoa; Chordata; Mammalia; Primates; Cercopithecidae
Description: lncRNA (ENSMFAG00000057107.1)
Source: RNAcentral
UUUUUUGUAGAGAUGUAUAAAAGCUAACAGUCAUUCCCUAGAGGUAUAGAAUCCUCUAGAAGAGGUCUCCAUCCUUCUUCCUCAUAUCAUAGAGAUAACCAAUGUUAACAUUUUAAUGAGUGCACUUCCAUAGCUUUCUUUGACAUGUCAAAUAUACCCAUAUAUAGAAUUUUUUUUUUUGAGACAGAAUCUCACUCUCUUGCCCAGGCUGGAGUGCAGUGGUGCAAUCUCGACUUACUGCCACCUCUGCCUUCCUGGUUCAAGUGAUUCCCAUGCCCCAGCCUCCCGAGCAGCUGGGAGUACAGGUGCACGCCACCACGCCUGGCUAAUUUUUGUUGCUGUUGUUGUUUUGUGAGACAGAGUCUCACUCUCUCGCUCAGGCUGGAGUGCAGUGGCAUGAUCUCGGCUCACUGCAAUCUCCCUCUCCCAGGUUCAAGUGAUUCUCGUGCCUCAGCCUCCCAAGUAGCAGGGAUUACAGGCACAUGCACCACACCCGGCUUUUUUUUUUUUUUUUUUUUUUUUUCAGUAGAGACAUAUUCUGUGUGGGGAGUGCACAGGUAAAAAGCAAACACACAGCACUCACAGCAAGUGCAGAUUGUAAAGUACUCUAGGUUUAUUUAAGUAUAAAAGAGAAGGUGCAUUGAGCAAACAGCAGUGAGAAAAAAAAAACAAAACAAAACAAUCAGCGUAUAUACACUCACCAUAUGAUGGAGGAUUCAUCACCAGGCCGGGAAGCAACAGCCUGGGUUCCAGAGUCGGCCACUGGUCCACGCACAGAGGAGGAGAGGUCUCAUGCAGCUUCAGCAUAGUCUGGGACCCUGACCUUUUUUUUUUUUUUUUGAGACGGACUAAUUUUUGGUAUUUUUAGUAGAGAUGGGGUAUCACCAUGUUGUCCAGGCUGGUCUCGAACCUCUGACCUCAGGUGAUCUGCCCACCUUGGCCUCCCAAAAUGCUGGGAUUACAGGCGUGAGCCACCACACCCGGCCUGACCUUUUUAUAGUAUUCUCUUUGGCAUGAGGCCCAGGCACAAGGCCUUUUGUCACUGGACUCAAGGAACACGGAAAGGUCAGCCUAUUUUCAAGGUUUUGUUUAUCGCCUCGAGGCAGAUGAUGUAUGUAUCAAGAACAAUCAGUAUAGUCCAUCUGUUCCUGAGCCAGUGCCCAGGGACAGAUUUCUGGCAUGUAACAAUUCCUUGUGUUCAAGUCCAGUUGAGUUCAAAUUUAAUAUUUAACUUUUCCUCCACAAGACGGGGUUUUACCAUGUUGGCCAGGCUGGUCUCAACCUCUUGACUUCAGGGGAUCUGCCCACUUCAGCUUCCCAAACUGCUGGGAUUACAGGCGUGAGCCACUGCAUCUGGUGCAUACAGAAUUUUUGAUGAAUAUGGGCUCAUUCUAAACAAGUUGAAACUUAUAAUCAACAUCCUUUAGGAUAAAUCAUAUCGAUCUAAUGUGUUUUGGUUUAUCAGCUGUAUCAUAUUCCAUAGUCUAGAAGUACUAGAAAUUAGUCUACCCCUGCUUUUUUGGUUGGUUGGUUGUUUUUGAGAUGGAGUUUCGCUCUUAUUGCCCAGGCUGCACGAUCUUGGCUCACUG